Phyllostomus discolor (pale spear-nosed bat) is the source of this 1331-nucleotide long non-coding RNA. RefSeq lists it as uncharacterized. The transcript has 3 exons. Lineage: Eukaryota; Metazoa; Chordata; Mammalia; Chiroptera; Phyllostomidae. The record is from RefSeq and is a predicted model, not a curated record.
GGGCUGCGCCGGAGCCUUCGCCGUCCGCCGCAGGUCUACGAGGUGCCUCUCCCCAUGUGACGUGUUCCUGCCGCCUGGGAGGGCGACCACCUGCCGAGACUCGGCGUCCAGCCGCCAGAGCGUCCAGCCGCCGGGGGCGCACGCCUGGAAGUCUGCAGCCCUCGCACGGCUCCCCAGAAAGCCAGGAAGAAGUCUAAAUUCGAAAGCAAAGGAACACCGAACUGUUUUUCUGGUAGACAAACCCUUGCAACAUUAAAAAAAAACAUGGAGAGCUGAUGGAUGUGUAAGAACGCGAUGAUACACUAGUCUCCUUCUGUGCCGAGCCAAUGGCGUGGUGUUUGAUUUAAAAUAACUGAGGGCAUAAGCUCAGGGAGGAGAAACGGGUUUGAAAGGGGAUCAGCCACAGCCGUCCGGAGUCCACCAGAGUCCCCAAGGCUGCGUUGCUGCUUUAGGUAAUGGGGGAGGGGGGCUGCGGAGCUCAGGGGGUGGGGAGUCAUUGCACCUUCUGAGUAGAGACAUCACACCUGACUUCCAGAGAGCUGCCUGCCCGCCAGUCAGUCAGCCAGCCAGUUCACCCUCCAGGUAAGAGAGGGCACGGCGGGCCGCCGGACUCCCUGGGAGCAUGAUGCUGCUGCGUUUCUCUUUCUAGGUUUAAGAUAUAUUUCUAGGCACUUUGGAAAAGAAAUCUAACUUUACCUAGAUUCGAGACCUAAGUCUCUCCCUUACAUAAUGGGUUUCAUGCUGUCCGUGGCAGAAUACGCAUUAUGGAGGAUUAUUCAGGGGAAAGAUAAACGGGUGUCCGCGGGGGUGGUUUUAGGACCCGCAUGUCAUGCGGGAGAUUGAGGACGGGCGAGGGAGCGGAACCCGGCCAGCGAGUGGUGGUCCUGUCCGCGGACUCAGCCCGCCGCCGCUGCUUGGUUUAGCUGUUACUCGGCGCGGCCCGGGAGAACAGCGCCUUCGAAACCGCUGCGAAUCGCACACGCGGAAACCUUCACCCACUGGGUGGUCCCAGUUCGUUCGGACGCCCUCUGGAGAACCAAAGUGUUCAUUCAGCUUGUGAUACAGUAAAUCGCGGAUACACGAACACACUACCGGCGGUGCCAGGUUCUUCCUAAAAGCGACCUUCAUGUUGGACCUGCGAAGAUUCUUUUAAGAAAACAAAACCCUCCUUCAUUAGAAUAAACUCUUAAGUAUCGGGGGCACUGUAUAGUUUUUCAACAAACAGCACACGCGUGUCGAUGUCCAAGAACAAACCCCGCCAAGAUGGCUAGAAUGUAGAUUUCCAAAUCUUUCCAGAAAAUACAAUUUCCUUGUAAAAUCGUAAGGGCUCA